This 229-nucleotide ribosomal RNA is filed under the name uncultured bacterium. Its description in RNAcentral is "partial 16S ribosomal RNA". It matches the Rfam family "Bacterial small subunit ribosomal RNA", at positions 99 to 334 of the family's 1533-position model. The record is from RNAcentral. RNAcentral also lists the same sequence under 1 other name.
CGGACGGGUGAGUAAUGUCUGGGAAACUGCCUGAUGGAGGGGGAUAACUACUGGAAACGGUAGCUAAUACCGCAUAACGUCGCAAGACCAAAGAGGGGGACCUUCGGGCCUCUUGCCAUCGGAUGUGCCCAGAUGGGAUUAGCUGUGGUGGGGUAACGGCUCACCAGGCGACGAUCCCUAGCUGGUCUGAGAGGAUGACCAGCCACACUGGAACUGAGACACGGUCCAG